Molecule: ribosomal RNA, 253 nt
Filed under: uncultured bacterium
Lineage: Bacteria
Description: partial 16S ribosomal RNA
Rfam family: Bacterial small subunit ribosomal RNA
Source: RNAcentral
UACGAAGGUGGCAAGCGUUACUCGGAAUUACUAGGCGUAAAGGGCAGGUAGGUGGCCCUAUAAGUCUGUUGUGAAAGCUCCCGGCUCAACUGGGAGAGGUCAACAGAUACUGUAGGGCUUGAGUAUGGGAGAGGGUACUGGAAUUCCUGGUGUAGCGGUGAAAUGCGCAGAGAUCAGGAGGAACACCGAUGGCGAAAGCAGGUACCUGGACCAUUACUGACACUCAGCUGCGAAAGCUAGGGGAGCAAACAGG